This 597-nucleotide ribosomal RNA is filed under the name Fusobacterium sp. R36. RNAcentral describes it as "bacterial SSU rRNA". It matches the Rfam family "Bacterial small subunit ribosomal RNA", at positions 764 to 1357 of the family's 1533-position model. The record is from RNAcentral. Lineage: Bacteria; Fusobacteriati; Fusobacteriota; Fusobacteriia; Fusobacteriales; Fusobacteriaceae.
GGUAGCAAACCGGAUUAGAUACCCUGGUAGUUCACGCCGUAAACGAUGAUUAAUAGGUGUUGGGGGUUGAACCUCAGCGCCCAAGCUAACGCGAUAAGUAAUCCUCCUCGGGAGUAGGUACGCAAGUAUGAAAAUCAAAGGAAUUGACGGGGACCCGCACCAGCGGUGGAGCAUGUGGUUUAAUUAUACGAAACAAGAGGAACCUCACCACCGUUUGACAUCCCCAGAAGUUAACAGAGAUGUUUUCAUGCUUCUUUGGAGGAACUUGGUGACAGGUGGUGCAUGGGUGUUGUCAGCUCGUGUUGUGAGAUGUUGGGUUAAGUCCCGCAACGAGCGCAACCCCUUUCGUAUGUUACCAUCAUUAAAUUGGGGAAUUAUAGAAGAAUGCCUGCGAUGAACAGGAAGAAAGUGGGGAAGAAGUCAAGUUAUUCUUCCCCUUUUAGGUUGGGGCUACACACCUGCUCCAAUGGGUAGUACAGAGAGCUGCACACGUGGCGAGGGUAAGCUAAUCUCAUAAAACUAUUCUUCAUUUCGGAUUGUACUGUUCAAACUCGAGUACAUGAAGUGGAAUCGUCUAGUAAUCGCAAAUCAGAGAUC